RNAcentral lists this ribosomal RNA (228 nucleotides) under uncultured bacterium. RNAcentral describes it as "partial 16S ribosomal RNA". It matches the Rfam family "Bacterial small subunit ribosomal RNA", at positions 113 to 334 of the family's 1533-position model. The record is from RNAcentral.
CGACGUAGGUAACCUGCCUUGUAGCGGGGGAGUAACUAUUGGAAACGAUAGCUAAUACCGCAUAACAAUGGAUGACACAUGUCAUUUAUUUUGAAAGGGGCAAUUGCUCCACUACAAGAUGGACCUGCGUUGUAUUAGCUAGUAGGUGAGGUAACGGCUCACCUAGGCGACGAUACAUAGCCGACCUGAGAGGGUGAUCGGCCACACUGGGACUGAGACACGGCCCAG